Molecule: ribosomal RNA, 465 nt
Filed under: Vreelandella stevensii
Lineage: Bacteria; Pseudomonadati; Pseudomonadota; Gammaproteobacteria; Oceanospirillales; Halomonadaceae
Description: partial 16S ribosomal RNA
Rfam family: Bacterial small subunit ribosomal RNA
Source: RNAcentral
CCUACGGGGGGCAGCAGUGGGGAAUAUUGGACAAUGGGGGGAACCCUGAUCCAGCCAUGCCGCGUGUGUGAAGAAGGCCCUCGGGUUGUAAAGCACUUUCAGUGAGGAAGAACGCCUGGUGGUUAAUACCCAUCAGGAAAGACAUCACUCACAGAAGAAGCACCGGCUAACUCCGUGCCAGCAGCCGCGGUAAUACGGAGGGUGCGAGCGUUAAUCGGAAUUACUGGGCGUAAAGCGCGCGUAGGUGGCUUGAUAAGCCGGUUGUGAAAGCCCCGGGCUCAACCUGGGAACGGCAUCCGGAACUGUCAAGCUAGAGUGCAGGAGAGGAAGGUAGAAUUCCCGGUGUAGCGGUGAAAUGCGUAGAGAUCGGGAGGAAUACCAGUGGCGAAGGCGGCCUUCUGGACUGACACUGACACUGAGGUGCGAAAGCGUGGGUAGCAAACAGGAUUAGAUACUCGUGUAGUC